AGAGUUUGAUCAUGGCUCAGGACGAACGCUGGCGGCGUGCUUAACACAUGCAAGUCGAGCGGAAAGGCCCCUUCGGGGGUACUCGAGCGGCGAACGGGUGAGUAACACGUGAGUAACCUGCCCUCGACUCUGGGAUAAGCCUGGGAAACUGGGUCUAAUACCGGAUAUUCACCUCCUGUCGCAUGGUGGGGGGUGGAAAGUUCCCUCUUUUGGGGGUUCGGUCGGGGAUGGGCUCGCGGCCUAUCAGCUUGUUGGUGGGGUGACGGCCUACCAAGGCGACGACGGGUAGCCGGCCUGAGAGGGCGACCGGCCACACUGGGACUGAGACACGGCCCAGACUCCUACGGGAGGCAGCAGUGGGGAAUCUUGCGCAAUGGGCGAAAGCCUGACGCAGCGACGCCGCGUGGGGGAUGAAGGCCUUCGGGUUGUAAACCCCUUUCAGCACCGACGAAGUUUGGACGGUAGGUGCAGAAGAAGCGCCGGCUAACUACGUGCCAGCAGCCGCGGUAAUACGUAGGGCGCGAGCGUUGUCCGGAAUUAUUGGGCGUAAAGAGCUCGUAGGCGGCUUGUCGCGUCUGUCGUGAAAGCCCACGGCUUCACCGUGGGUUUGCGGUGGAUACGGGCAGGCUAGAGGCAGGUAGGGGAGCAUGGAAUUCCCGGUGUAGC
RNAcentral lists this ribosomal RNA (666 nucleotides) under uncultured bacterium. Its description in RNAcentral is "bacterial SSU rRNA". It matches the Rfam family "Bacterial small subunit ribosomal RNA", at positions 8 to 679 of the family's 1533-position model. The record is from RNAcentral.